GGCAACCCGGUCAGGUCCCCUUCCAUGCUGUGGAAGAUUUGUUCUUUCACUCUUCACAAUAAUUCUUGCUGCUGCUCACUCUUUGGGUUCGCACUACCUUUAUGAGCUGUAACACUCACUGCGAAGGUCUGCAGCUUCACUCCUAAAGUCAGUGAGACCACUAACCCACCAGAAGGAAGAAACAACUCCAGACAUGCCACCUUUAAGAGCUGUAACACUGCAAAGGUCUGCGGCUUCACUCCUGAAGUCAAGCGAGACCAUGAACCCACCAGAAGGAAGAAACUCCAGACCCAUCUGAACAUCUGAAGGAACAAACUCCGGACACACCACUUUUAAAAACUGUAACACUCACCGUGAGGGUCCUCAGCUUCAUUCUUGAAGUCAGCAAGACCAAUAACCCACCGGAAGGAACCAAUUCUGGACACAUUUUGGCAACCAUGAAGGGAUUAUCGCCUAUCGCCAAGGGGAACCUGCGGGACCAUCAGAUCAGGAGUCCCAAGAUCAGCCAGACCAGCCUCGAUACACCUGCGAACCAUUGGAGGACUUUCAUCUCCUAUUUCAGAAGGAAACAUCCCAGACUAAAAAGGCUCCUACCACUGAUCCUGAAGAAACACCCCUUCCUACUUAAAAAAGAUAAGUGAAGGCCUACAUAAUCUUUAUCUUUAACAUCUCUCCUUGCCCCUUUAAUGGAAUCCUUUUACUAUUUCAUCAUAUUAUUAAGCAGCAUACUAACCAUACUCUUUGCAAUAGGAUUAUACUGUAGCUCCUGCCAGGAUGAAAAUCCUAAUCACAUCAACCUUCUUUCUUUCUAUCUUCCUUCCUUCUGACAGCAAUUUACUCCUACCUUUAACUCAGACUGAAUAAAAUGAUCUCAUCUUCCAGAGCACCCUCUUUACCUUCCAAUUUACUCUUUGCCUGUCUAUUCCUCCUGCUUCCUUGGAUACCUCAUACAAUCACCCCUCCCCUUCCACUAGCUCCUAAUUACCUCUAUAAGACUCUCAACUUAACCCACUCUCUGUUAAACUAGUCCAAUCCUCCCCUGACAAAUGACUGUUGGCUUUGUAUCUCUCUAUCAACUUCUGCUUAUGUUGCCACUCCCAUUCCUGCAAAAAACUGGGUCUUUACCAACUUAACCUACCACCCUCGUUAUGAAGGAAAAGACCCUUUCCGAAUUCUAAAUAUGCAAUCAUUAGCCAACUUCCCCAUCUCUGAUAGGACCAAGAAUACCCUAACAGGACAUGCAAUCCAACUUUUACAUUCUUACAUUUCCAACCUCACUUAUUACACAAGCAAUGAAAAGCCCAUACAUGGCCCUGUAACUACGAAUACUAUCUUAACUUUCCAAGCCCCUUUAUGCAUCCAACGCAACAUGUUAUCAGGCCUGCCCCUGGGGCACCUACUACCCCAUCAGUGUAAUUACAUCCUACAACUUCAAGCCCCAACUGAUCAUAGUAACUUCCGAGUCACCCAAACAGCUCCAUUCAGAUGGCUUGUCCACUUCUCAGGGCCCCCAAAAAUCAUCACCUCCUCCCUACUUAACAAACAGUCCAGGUUGUAAUGGCAAACAUGCUCCCUGCAUGACCAUUCACCCCUGGACCCCCUGCAGCAGCACCCCCACCACUAGUGAAUGCCUUCUCAUCCCCUCUUUCAAUCACUCUCAAAUGGUUCCUAGUAGAUACAAAAUGGUUUUGUCUCCAAUGGGAAAAUAGAACACAGGGAGCCACUCAGUUUGCUCCCAACACCCGUUUCCAGCCACUCACCAGAGCUACCUUGACAAGUACUCUGGGAGUAUGGGAAAAUGAAAACAAUAAACUCACACACCUUUUUAACAUACACAAACCAGUUAUCUCUACCCAGCCGAGGUAUAGUCUUUUGUGGAACGUCGACCUAUAUCUGCCUCCCGACUAACUGGACAGGCACCUGCACCUUAGUCUUUCUAAGUCCCAACAUUAACAUUGCCCCAGGAAAUCAGACCCUAUCAGAAUGCCUCAAAGCUCAAGUCUGUCAGCGCAGAGCCAGACAACUAAUACCCCUACUUAUAGGGUUAGGAAUAGCUACUGCUACAGGAACUGGAAUAGCCAGUUUAUCUACUUCGUUACCCUACUACCACACACUCUCAAAGGAUUUCUCAGUUUGCAAGAACUAAUGAAAUCUAUCCUUACUCUACAACCCCAAAUAGACUCUUUGGCAGCAGUGACUCUCCAAAACUGCUGAGGCCUAGACCUCCUCACUGUGGAGGAAGGAGGAUUCUGCACCUUCUUAGGAGAAGAGUGUUGUUUUUACACUAACCAGCCAGAGAUAGUACAAGAUGCCACCCAGUGUUUACAGGAAAAGGCUUCUGAAAUCAGAUGCCUUUCAAACUCUUAUACCAACCUCUGGAGUUGGGCAACAUGGCUUCUUCCUUUUCUAGGUCCUGUGGCAGCCAUCUGGCUAUUACUCGCCUUCAGGCCUUGUAUUUUUAAUCUCCUUGUCAAAUUUGUUUCCUCUAGGAUCAAGGCCAUCAAGCUACAGAUGGUCUUACAAAUGGAACCCUAAAUGAGCUCAACUAACAACUUCUACCAAGGACCCCUGGACUGACCCAUUGGCCCUUUCACUGGCCUAAAGAGUUCCCCUCUGGAGGACACUACAACUGUAGGGCCCCUUCUUUGCCCCUAUCCCACAGGAAGUAGCUAGAGCAUUCAUCACCCAAUUCCCAACAGCAGUUGGGGUGUCCUGUUUAGAGAGGGGAUUGAGAGGUAAAGCCAGCUGGACUUCCUGGGUCAAGUGGGGACUUGGAGAACUUUUCUGUCUAGCUAGAGGAUUGUAAAUGCACCAAUCAGCACUCUGUAUCUAGCUAAAGGUUUGUAAACACACCUAAUCAGCACUCUGUAAAAAUGGACCAAUCAGCACUCUGUAAAAUAGACCAAUCAGCGCUCUGUAAAAUGGACCAAUCAGCAGGAUGUGGGUGGGGCCAAAUAAGGGAAUAAAAGCUGGCCACCUGAGCCAGCAGCAGCAAGCCGCUCAGGUCCCCUUCCACACUGUGGAAGCUUUGUUCUUUCCUUCUUCACAAUAAAUCUUGCUGCUGCUCACUCUUUGAGUCCGUACUACCUUUAUGAGCUGUAAAACUCACUGCAAAGGCCUGCAGCUUCACUCCUGAAGUCAGCAAGACCACGAACCCACCGGGAGGAACAAACAACUCCAGAUACGCCACCUUUAAGAGCUGUAACACUCACUGCGAAGGUCUGCGGCUUCACUCCUGAAGUCAGCGAGACCACAAACCCAUCAGAAGGAAGAAACAACUCUGGACAUGCCACCCUUAAUAGCUGUAACACUCACUGCAAAGGUCUGCACCUUCACUCCUGAAGUCAAGCAAGACCACGAACCCACCAGAAGGAAGAAACUCCAGACCCAUCUGAACAUCUGAAAGAACAAACUCCAGACACACCAUCUUUAAGAACUGUAACACUCACCGCGAGGGUCCAUGGCUUCAUUCUUGAAGUCAGCGAGACCAAUAACCCACCGGAAGCAACCAAUUCUGGACACAUCAGCUCGCUGCAACCUCUGCCUCCUGGGUUCAAGCAAUUGUCCUGCCACAGCCUCCUGAGUAGCUGGGAUUACAGGUGUGCACCACCACACCCAGCUAAUUUUUGUAUUUUUAGUAAAGACGGACUUUCGCCAUGUUGGCCAGGCUGGUCUUGAACUCCAGACCUCAGGUGAUCUGCCCGCCUAGGCCUCCCAAAGUGCUGGGAUUACAGGCAUGAGCCACUGCGCCUGGCCUAAGCAAUGUUUUUUUAAAAAACAUUCACACACUAAUUCCAAGAAGGUUUUUUACAACAGUUCAGGAAUGUAGUGCAUUACAAAUAGAAACUUGUUUUUAACACAGAAGUGGAAUGCGGUUGAUACUUGGCUGUAUUAAUAUUUGUGUUACCCAAAAAAGUACUGGAUGCAAACUAUAUAUAUAAAUCUGAGAUCUAAUGUGGAUGCUUAAAAACGAACUUUUAAAAGUUCUUUUAAACCAAAAUUUUAAAAGUAAGUCCAUUUUUAUAAAAAUUAAUCUAUACGUAUAUGCGUAGAAAAAUCUGGAAGGAAAUAUUCCAAAUAGUAAUAUCAAAUAGCUCUGGAUUAUAUGAUUAUAGAGUGUUGUUUUUAUGUUGUUAAUUUUUUUUUUUUUUUUGAGACGGAGUCUCACUCUGUUGUCCAGGCUGGAGUGCAGUGGCACAAUCUCAGCUCACUGCAAUCUCUACCUCUCAAGUUCAAGUGAUUCUCCUGCCUCAGCCUCCCAAGUAGCUGGGACAAGAGGCGCACACCACCAUGCCUGGCUAAUUUUUGUAUUUUUAUUAGAGACAAGGUUUUGCCAUGUUGCCCCAUCUGGUCUCAAACUCCUGGCCUGAAGUGAUCCACCCGCCUCAGUCUCCCAAAGUGCUGGGAUUACAGGUGUGAGCCACUGUGCCUGGCUGCUGUUAAUUUUUUUGGCAAAAUGAGUUUUGCCAAACUCAUUUUACUGCUAGAGAGUUUUCUUUUUUUUACGUCUUUCUAUAAUAUCUGACUUUUUUACAUGAAUAUAAACUUCCUUUAUACUCAAAGGGAAAAUAAUCAAUAAUCCUAUUUUUAUUUUUCAAAAGAGAAAAAUAAAGGAGGGAAAAGUCUAAUAGAAUGAAAGUAGAUAAGAGUUGCUCCCAGGCCAGGGAGCUGGAACUAACCAGAAGGACUAGUUCGGAAAUGGCCCAGGCUGAGUGAGAUACCAGCUCCCUAAACAGCCUCUGACAAGAGGAAAGGCAGCCAUGCACAUGAGCAACUUUGAAGUCAGAUGGUUCCAGAAAGCGCCAGGCAUGGGCACCAGAUGCUGGUGGUCCUCAGAGGAGAGCUCUGCACUAGACACAAAGGUCACAUGGCCCCAGUCCUAGGAGAAGCAUCCAGUCUAGACAAGCUAAUGAAAACCAUGGUGAUGUCAACAGAGAGCCACAACUGGUUUCACAAACCACUAGUAAAACGUUCAAGUUCCAGAAAUUGAAGGAACACACAAUAAAACAAUAAGUCCUCCCUCUUCACCUAUCAAAAGAGUAAAGAAUUUUUAAAUGCUGGUGAGGGUGUGCUGGAAUUAGUGCUCAUUCACUGCUGUUGGGAAUUAUUGCAUUGCUAAUGUGGUUUGAAAAGCAAUACGGUGGCUGGGUGCUGUGGCUCACGCCGGUAAUCCCAACACUUUGGGAGGCUGAGGUGGGUGGAUCACCUGAGGUCAUGAGUUUGAGACCAGCCUGGCCAACAUGGUGAAACCCCACCUGUACUAAAAUACAAAAUUAGCCAGACGUGGUGAUGCAUGCCUGUAAUCCCAGCUACUUGGGAGGCUGAGGCAGGAGAAUAGCUUGAACCUGGGAGCUGGAGGUUGCAGUGAGCCAAGAUCGUGCCAUUGCACUCCAGCCUGGGUGACAGAGUGAGACUCCAUCUCAAAAAAGAAAAGCAGCAUGGUGCUAUAUAUGCCGAUUGUUUUAAGAUAUUCAUAUCAUUUUGUAAUUUCAUUUCUAGAAGUCUGUUGUAAGGCAAAGAAAUAUAAAACUUUAUUAUCAAAGAUACUCAUUGCAGUAUGAUUUAUAAUUUUUUUAAUGAAAUAACCUGAAAACUGUCCAACAAUAGUUGGAGUGGUAAGUUCUGAUACAACCUGUCAGUGGAGCAUUAUGUAGCCAUUAAAAAAAAUGUUUAGAGA
Molecule: long non-coding RNA, 5677 nt
Filed under: Homo sapiens (human)
Lineage: Eukaryota; Metazoa; Chordata; Mammalia; Primates; Hominidae
Description: HSALNT0389312
Source: RNAcentral